AGCGUACACGGUGGAUGCCCUGGCAGUCAGAGGCGAUGAAGGACGUGCUAAUCUGCGAUAAGCGUCGGUGAGGUGAUAUGAACCGUUAUAACCGGCGAUUUCCGAAUGGGGAAACCCAGUGUGUUUCGACACACUAUCAUUAACUGAAUCCAUAGGUUAAUGAGGCGAACCGGGGGAACUGAAACAUCUAAGUACCCCGAGGAAAAGAAAUCAACCGAGAUUCCCCCAGUAGCGGCGAGCGAACGGGGAGGAGCCCAGAGCCUGAAUCAGUGUGUGUGUUAGUGGAAGCGUCUGGAAAGGCGCGCGAUACAGGGUGACAGCCCCGUACACAAAAAUGCACAUACUGUGAGCUCGAUGAGUAGGGCGGGACACGUGGUAUCCUGUCUGAAUAUGGGGGGACCAUCCUCCAAGGCUAAAUACUCCUGACUGACCGAUAGUGAACCAGUACCGUGAGGGAAAGGCGAAAAGAACCCCGGCGAGGGGAGUGAAAAAGAACCUGAAACCGUGUACGUACAAGCAGUGGGAGCCUCUUAAUGGGGUGACUGCGUACCUUUUGUAUAAUGGGUCAGCGACUUAUAUUCUGUAGCAAGGUUAACCGAAUAGGGGAGCCGAAGGGAAACCGAGUCUUAACUGGGCGUUAAGUUGCAGGGUAUAGACCCGAAACCCGGUGAUCUAGCCAUGGGCAGGUUGAAGGUUGGGUAACACUAACUGGAGGACCGAACCGACUAAUGUUGAAAAAUUAGCGGAUGACUUGUGGCUGGGGGUGAAAGGCCAAUCAAACCGGGAGAUAGCUGGUUCUCCCCGAAAGCUAUUUAGGUAGCGCCUCGUGAAUUCAUCUCCGGGGGUAGAGCACUGUUUCGGCAAGGGGGUCAUCCCGACUUACCAACCCGAUGCAAACUGCGAAUACCGGAGAAUGUUAUCACGGGAGACACACGGCGGGUGCUAACGUCCGUCGUGAAGAGGGAAACAACCCAGACCGCCAGCUAAGGUCCCAAAGUCAUGGUUAAGUGGGAAACGAUGUGGGAAGGCCCAGACAGCCAGGAUGUUGGCUUAGAAGCAGCCAUCAUUUAAAGAAAGCGUAAUAGCUCACUGGUCGAGUCGGCCUGCGCGGAAGAUGUAACGGGGCUAAACCAUGCACCGAAGCUGCGGCAGCGACACUAUGUGUUGUUGGGUAGGGGAGCGUUCUGUAAGCCUGUGAAGGUGGCCUGUGAGGGUUGCUGGAGGUAUCAGAAGUGCGAAUGCUGACAUAAGUAACGAUAAAGCGGGUGAAAAGCCCGCUCGCCGGAAGACCAAGGGUUCCUGUCCAACGUUAAUCGGGGCAGGGUGAGUCGACCCCUAAGGCGAGGCCGAAAGGCGUAGUCGAUGGGAAACAGGUUAAUAUUCCUGUACUUGGUGUUACUGCGAAGGGGGGACGGAGAAGGCUAUGUUGGCCGGGCGACGGUUGUCCCGGUUUAAGCGUGUAGGCUGGUUUUCCAGGCAAAUCCGGAGAAUCAAGGCUGAGGCGUGAUGACGAGGCACUACGGUGCUGAAGCAACAAAUGCCCUGCUUCCAGGAAAAGCCUCUAAGCAUCAGGUAACAUCAAAUCGUACCCCAAACCGACACAGGUGGUCAGGUAGAGAAUACCAAGGCGCUUGAGAGAACUCGGGUGAAGGAACUAGGCAAAAUGGUGCCGUAACUUCGGGAGAAGGCACGCUGAUAUGUAGGUGAAGCGACUUGCUCGUGGAGCUGAAAUCAGUCGAAGAUACCAGCUGGCUGCAACUGUUUAUUAAAAACACAGCACUGUGCAAACACGAAAGUGGACGUAUACGGUGUGACGCCUGCCCGGUGCCGGAAGGUUAAUUGAUGGGGUUAGCGGCAACGCGAAGCUCUUGAUCGAAGCCCCGGUAAACGGCGGCCGUAACUAUAACGGUCCUAAGGUAGCGAAAUUCCUUGUCGGGUAAGUUCCGACCUGCACGAAUGGCGUAAUGAUGGCCAGGCUGUCUCCACCCGAGACUCAGUGAAAUUGAACUCGCUGUGAAGAUGCAGUGUACCCGCGGCAAGACGGAAAGACCCCGUGAACCUUUACUAUAGCUUGACACUGAACAUUGAGCCUUGAUGUGUAGGAUAGGUGGGAGGCUUUGAAGUGUGGACGCCAGUCUGCAUGGAGCCGGCCUUGAAAUACCACCCUUUAAUGUUUGAUGUUCUAACGUGGGCCCCUAAUCGGGGUUGCGGACAGUGUCUGGUGGGUAGUUUGACUGGGGCGGUCUCCUCCUAAAGAGUAACGGAGGAGCACGAAGGUUGGCUAAUCCUGGUCGGACAUCAGGAGGUUAGUGCAAUGGCAUAAGCCAGCUUGACUGCGAGCGUGACGGCGCGAGCAGGUGCGAAAGCAGGUCAUAGUGAUCCGGUGGUUCUGAAUGGAAGGGCCAUCGCUCAACGGAUAAAAGGUACUCCGGGGAUAACAGGCUGAUACCGCCCAAGAGUUCAUAUCGACGGCGGUGUUUGGCACCUCGAUGUCGGCUCAUCACAUCCUGGGGCUGAAGUAGGUCCCAAGGGUAUGGCUGUUCGCCAUUUAAAGUGGUACGCGAGCUGGGUUUAGAACGUCGUGAGACAGUUCGGUCCCUAUCUGCCGUGGGCGCUGGAGAACUGAGGGGGGCUGCUCCUAGUACGAGAGGACCGGAGUGGACGCAUCACUGGUGUUCGGGUUGUCAUGCCAAUGGCACUGCCCGGUAGCUAAAUGCGGAAGAGAUAAGUGCUGAAAGCAUCUAAGCACGAAACUUGCCCCGAGAUGAGUUCU
RNAcentral lists this ribosomal RNA (2773 nucleotides) under Escherichia coli EPEC11. RNAcentral's name for it is "bacterial LSU rRNA". It matches the Rfam family "Bacterial large subunit ribosomal RNA". Lineage: Bacteria; Pseudomonadati; Pseudomonadota; Gammaproteobacteria; Enterobacterales; Enterobacteriaceae. The record is from RNAcentral.